AGAGUUUCGAUCCUGGCUCAGAUUAACGCUGGCGGCGUGCAUAACACAUGCAAGUCGAACGAUUGAAACUUUAAUGGAACCCUUCGGGGAGAAUUAAAGCGGAUUAGUGGCGAACGGGUGAGUAACGCGUGAGUAACCUGCCUUACACAAGGGGAUAGCCUUUGGAAACGAAGAAUAAUACCCUAUAAAACCAUAAAGGCACAUGCAAUUAUGGUCAAAGUAUUAGCGGUGUAAGAUGGACUUGCGUCUGAUUAGCUAGUUGGUGAGAUAAAAGCCCACCAAGGCAACGAUCAGUAGCCGGCUUGAGAGAGUGUACGGCCACAUUGGGACUGAGACACGGCCCAGACUCCUACGGGAGGCAGCAGUGGGGAAUUUUGCACAAUGGGGGAAACCCUGAUGCAGCGACGCCGCGUGAUUUAGAAGGCCUUCGGGUUGUAAAAAUCUUUUGUAUAGGAAGAAAAUGACAAUACUAUACGAAUAAGGUCCGGCUAAUUACGUG
This 499-nucleotide ribosomal RNA is filed under the name uncultured Anaerococcus sp. RNAcentral describes it as "bacterial SSU rRNA". It matches the Rfam family "Bacterial small subunit ribosomal RNA", at positions 8 to 507 of the family's 1533-position model. Lineage: Bacteria; Bacillati; Bacillota; Tissierellia; Tissierellales; Peptoniphilaceae. The record is from RNAcentral.